Molecule: non-coding RNA, 929 nt
Filed under: Dendostrea sandvichensis
Lineage: Eukaryota; Metazoa; Mollusca; Bivalvia; Ostreida; Ostreidae
Description: 12S ribosomal RNA
Rfam family: Microsporidia small subunit ribosomal RNA (bases 166-928)
Source: RNAcentral
GAAAUAUUUGGUUCUGGUAUAAUGUCAGCCUUGAGUUACUUAAAAUACACAAUGUAGGAUAUUUUCAUAAUGUGCUAAGUAAAUAAAAGAGAUAAACUAAAGUAAGUACCUAAAAGGUAAAAAAGUAGUGUAGGCAUAAGUUUAAAACGAUAACGCUAAAAUAAUCACAACUCAAGUGGAUAGUCCUGGAUUCAAUGAGUUUAUGCUUGAAACGAACGGAAAACUGAUAAAUGUAAGCUAAAUGGGGUGCCAGCAGCUGCGGUCAGUCCCUUUUAAGUAGGCUGACAGAGGUGCAGCCUAGAGGCGGUUAGUCAGAUUAAGUUAGUAAGACAUACAUCAAGUCUAAGGAGGUGAAAUUCCGUAAAACUUGAAGGAGGGCCAUAGCUUGCAUAAAGAUGAACCCGCAAAGUUAUGGGUAUAGACCCGGAUUAGAUACCCGGUUAUUCCAUAAUGUCACGUACGGUUGUUUUAAUGUAUAAAUAAUCUGCUAGGAGUACUACGAGCAAAUGCUUAAAACUCGAAGAACUUGGCGGUUCCACAAAACCAUCCAGAGGCUCUUGGCGCUUAAUCCGAUGGUCCGCGUGAUAUCUCACCCAUUUUAUAUAGCAAUGUACUGCCGUCGAAAGCUUAUAAUGUAAGUGAGUAGAAACAAGCCUUGCCUUAAAGUUCUAAGUUCUAAUCAGAAUUUUAAGACUAGGUCAGGUCGAAGUGUUCUUUAUAAAUGAGGGGUUAGCUGAGAGACAAAUUUUAAGACAUAGCAAGCUUGAAAAUGAAAUUUUUUAAGUAAGGAGGAUUUGGGAGUAAAAAAAAAGUAACUCAUUUUUUUGAAACGACGAAACUGUGGUGCGUACAAAUCGCCCGUCACCCUAGCUGAAAGGAGAGGUAAGUCGUAACAUGGUAAGGGUAGGGGAACCUGCUCUUAUGAUAUA